This 254-nucleotide ribosomal RNA is filed under the name uncultured bacterium. RNAcentral describes it as "partial 16S ribosomal RNA". It matches the Rfam family "Bacterial small subunit ribosomal RNA", at positions 524 to 777 of the family's 1533-position model. The record is from RNAcentral.
UACGAAGGGGGCUAGCGUUGCUCGGAAUCACUGGGCGUAAAGGGUGCGUAGGCGGGUCUUUAAGUCAGGGGUGAAAUCCUGGAGCUCAACUCCAGAACUGCCUUCGAUACUGAGAGUCUUGAGUCCGGGAGAGGUGAGUGGAACUGCGAGUGUAGAGGUGAAAUUCGUAGAUAUUCGCAAGAACACCAGUGGCGAAGGCGGCUCACUGGCCCGGUACUGACGCUGAGGUGCGAAAGCGUGGGGAGCAAACAGGG